CAGCCGCCGCGGGAAUACGGAGGGAGCUAGCGUUGUUCGGAAUUACUGGGCGUAAAGCGCACGUAGGCGGUUAUUCAAGUCAGAGGUGAAAGCCCGGGGCUCAACCCCGGAACUGCCUUUGAAACUAGAUGACUAGAAUCUUGGAGAGGUCAGUGGAAUUCCGAGUGUAGAGGUGAAAUUCGUAGAUAUUCGGAAGAACACCAGUGGCGAAGGCGACUGACUGGACAAGUAUUGACGCUGAGGUGCGAAAGCGUGGGGAGCAAACAGGAUUAGAUACCCCUGUAGUCCCUGUCUCUUAUAC
RNAcentral lists this ribosomal RNA (301 nucleotides) under uncultured bacterium. RNAcentral's name for it is "partial 16S ribosomal RNA". It matches the Rfam family "Bacterial small subunit ribosomal RNA", at positions 509 to 807 of the family's 1533-position model. The record is from RNAcentral.